This 253-nucleotide ribosomal RNA is filed under the name uncultured bacterium. RNAcentral's name for it is "partial 16S ribosomal RNA". It matches the Rfam family "Bacterial small subunit ribosomal RNA", at positions 524 to 776 of the family's 1533-position model. The record is from RNAcentral.
UACGAAGGGGGCUAGCGUUGUUCGGAAUUACUGGGCGUAAAGCGCACGUAGGCGGCUUUCUAAGUCGGGGGUGAAAUCCUGGAGCUCAACUCCAGAACUGCAUUCGAUACUGGAAAGCUCGAGUCCGGGAGAGGUGAGUGGAACUGCGAGUGUAGAGGUGAAAUUCGUAGAUAUUCGCAAGAACACCAGUGGCGAAGGCGGCUCACUGGCCCGGUACUGACGCUGAGGUGCGAAAGCGUGGGGAGCAAACAGG